AUUCUUUAAUCUUUAGCUCAAGCUUCUACUAAUGCACAGCAGGCAAGCCAUUGUAUAAAACUGGUUGGUGCUCGCUGUAAUAGAAAAAGAUGAUGAUUAUCCAUCUUGUGUUGCUUCAUGCUGCGGAUGAGAUGCUCAGUGUGGACCCUUAGCCAUGGCAUGGACUGUGUCUCCCUUACAGAGGUUUACAUAAUCCUGGACUAGGCCGUAUCCUGAGCAGUUGCUGUGGUGGUCAAGGAGGAGUGGAGAGCAUGAGACUGAUCCAUUGACAGACGAGUUCUCGCAUUGAUCUUGAAAGGACAGCCUAUACACCAGCUGGUGACCUCUCCCAGAUGCAGCUUCUCCACGAAGGAUGUCCAGCCUCCGGCACCUAAACUGCAGCUCUGCACAAGACGUUUAACCAUAGGACAAAUGGUCAUGCCCAGCUGAGCCUGGUUUCUCUCUAAGUUUUUUAAUUCUUCAUUUUCGCCAAUUGGUAAAGUUUUUUUUUUUCCUCGCCGCUGUCGCCACUGGCUUGGACUGACAUUUCAGUUUACUACAAUCUUCUAUGUGAAGCUGCUUUGACACAAUCUACAUUGUAAUAGUGCUACAGAAAUGAAGUUGAACCAAAUUACCACCUGAGUUGCUUAAGCUGCUACAACCACCAGAGCUCUUAUUGCUAGGGCUGCCACCACCACCACCAGUUCUGCCAGAUUCUCCUUCACUCUCAGAGCUGCCAGAAUCUCCUUCGCUCCUAGAGGGGCGCUCUGUCACAAGCACCAGCAAUCCAGCAACUGCGGAUCUCAAGACAACUACACACACUAUCGAACCGUCAUGCGCCUCGCAUGUUCCAGAUAACAAUUAAUUACAUACACACAGCCAGAGGAUUUGUCAAGGAUUGAUUACAGCACACACACAUACGCAUCAGUCUUCUUUACUGUUUUUGUGACAUUAUAAUGCAUUUCCUUUGCCUUGACUCGCUUUUGUUCUAUUCAUUAUGUUGCAUACUGUCUGUACAAACCAUUUGCCUGUUAUUUGACCAUGAAUCUAGAUUACCUAUAUGUAUCUGUUUGACCCUGUUGACCGUUGCCUGCCUGGCCAUUCUCAUAAUAAACCUGCAUUUGAAUUCUCAA
Non-coding RNA from Danio rerio (zebrafish), 1112 nucleotides. The record is from RefSeq and is a predicted model, not a curated record. NCBI's taxonomy places the organism in Eukaryota, Metazoa, Chordata, Actinopteri, Cypriniformes, Danionidae.